Molecule: ribosomal RNA, 207 nt
Filed under: uncultured bacterium
Lineage: Bacteria
Description: partial 16S ribosomal RNA
Rfam family: Bacterial small subunit ribosomal RNA
Source: RNAcentral
CGUUCAGGCGGUCAAUCAAGUCGGGCAUGAAAUCUCUCGGCUCAACCGGGCGAGGUUGUCCGAUACUGGCUGACUGGAGGGCAGUAGAGGGUGGUGGAAUUCCGGGUGUAGUGGUGAAAUGCGUAGAGAUCCGGAGGAACACCAGUGGCGAAAGCGGCCACCUGGACUGUACCUGACGCUGAAACGCGAAAGCUAGGGGAGCGAACG